Molecule: RNA transcript, 7621 nt
Organism: Motacilla alba alba
Lineage: Eukaryota; Metazoa; Chordata; Aves; Passeriformes; Motacillidae
Gene: DARS2
Gene name: aspartyl-tRNA synthetase 2, mitochondrial
Exons: 19
Source: RefSeq, a predicted model, not a curated record
GGGGGCGGCCGUGCGGGAAGGAGGCGCCCGCGGCGGAUGUGGUUUCCCGUUUCCCCUUUCCCCCUCCGGAGCUCGCGUUUUUCACUUCGCGCAGGACUGUGGCUCUCCUCCCGUGUUUCUGGCCGAGGGGCGGCUGCGGGAUGGCGCUGCCCCGCCUGCUGGUGCGAGCGCUGCACCGGGCGGCCGCUGCCGCCGCACCUGUGGCUCCAGAUUUCAACAGCUUUGUCACUCGGACCAACACGUGUGGAGAGCUGCGUGCUGCUCACGUGGGACAGAAGGUGACCCUUUAUGGAUGGGUUCAAUAUCAAAGACAAGGCCUGUUUCUGGUUCUGAGGGAUUUCCAGGGACUCACCCAGGUCAUCAUUCCUCAGGAUGAGGCACAUUCCCACGUGAAGGAGCUGCUGUCCAAUGCCCCACUGGAGUCUGUGGUGAGAGUCACUGGGACAGUGUCCCCUCGGCCCCUGGGGCAGGAGAAUCCGAAAAUGCCAACAGGGGAUAUUGAAGUGAAAGCAGAGACUGCAGAGAUCCUAAACUCCUGCAAGAAGCUGCCUUUUGAAAUCAAGGAUUUUAUCAAGAAGUCCGAGGCCUUGCGGAUGCAGUAUCGGUACCUGGACCUGCGCAGCUUCCGGCUGCAGUCCGCCCUGCGGCUGCGCUCUCGCGUGGUGAUGAGGAUGCGCGAGUACCUCUGCAACCUCCACGGGUUCGUGGAUGUAGAAACUCCAACUCUGUUUAAAAGAACCCCAGGGGGAGCCAAAGAAUUCCUUGUGCCCUCAAGGGAAGCGGGCAAGUUCUACUCUCUGCCACAGAGUCCUCAGCAGUUCAAGCAGCUCCUCAUGGUUGGAGGCCUGGACAGGUACUUCCAGGUCGCUCGCUGCUACCGGGAUGAGGGUUCACGGCCUGACAGGCAGCCAGAAUUCACCCAGAUAGAUAUAGAGAUGUCGUUUGUAGAUCAAGCUGGGAUCCAGAGGCUCAUAGAGGGCCUCCUGCAACAUUCCUGGCCUGAGGAAAGAGGCUCCAUUAUGACUCCUUUCCCUUCCAUGACAUAUGAGGAGGCCCUGGCUGAGUAUGGGACUGAUAAACCAGACACUCGCUUUGGGAUGAAGAUUGUGGAUAUCAGUGAUGUUUUACGAGGAUCAGACCUUAACUUUGUGCAGAAUGCCCUCAGUUACCCACAUGGCUCCAUCAGAGCUAUUUGUAUCCCUCAGGGAGUGUUUCCCCAGAGGUAUCUUACAAAUAAAGACUUGGAGUCGUUGAAGGAGUCGGCAAAAUCCCAGUUUAACCAGGAAAUCAUGGAAAUUAUCCGCAGACCUGAUGGAAGCUUGAAGUCUCUGCUUACCAAGUUCCUUGGUGCGAAGGAGCGGUCAGAGCUCAUCCAAGUACUAAACAUGCAGGAGGGUGAUGUGGUGCUGCUAGCAGCUGGAGAGCACAAGCAAGUGUGCUCUGCCUUAGGAGCCUUGCGGUUGUUGAGUGCCAACCUCCUGGAGGCAGCUGGGCUGGCACUCCGUGAUCCCACAGCCUUUCACUUCCUCUGGGUGGUGGAUUUCCCCCUUUUCCUCCCCAAGGCUGAGAAUCCCACUGAGCUGGAAUCUGCUCAUCACCCCUUCACUGCCCCUCAUCCUUCAGAUGCCAGUCUCCUGUAUUCUGAUCCCACAAAGGUCCGUAGCCAGCACUACGACCUUGUGCUGAAUGGCAGUGAGGUUGGAGGUGGCUCCAUCAGAAUUCACAGUGCAGAACAGCAGCGUUUUGUGCUGGAGAAAGUGCUGAAGGAGGACUGCGAGGUGCUUUCCCAUCUAAUUGAGGCUUUGGAAUUUGGAGCUCCACCUCAUGGAGGAAUUGCUUUAGGACUUGACAGGCUGAUCUCUCUCAUUGUUGACGCUCCAAGUAUCCGGGACGUCAUUGCCUUUCCAAAAUCCUUCAGGGGACGAGACCUGAUGGGCAAUGCUCCAGACUAUGUCACUCCAGAAGAACUAGAGCCAUAUCACAUUCAGGUUUCCUGGCCUCUUGAAGAAAAAGAGGCAAAGAAAAACUGACUUCAUGCCAGUGGUAGCAUUGUGUAAGAUUGUGCUUGGGCUUGUGGAAGCCAAAUCUACAGAAUAUCCCUGAAACCACGAUCUGCUUGGCACACUUAGCUGCAUAUUCUGGUAGGAGCAAGAGUAGACAGGCAGUACAAAGAAAUCCAUGGAAAUCAGGGCUGGUCAUAUUGCAGACCAGUAUCUCCUGCUUGCUGGAGAGAAGAUGCCAUCCUGUGAUCCUGAAAAGAGAUGUUGAAACCAUCACAGACCCCUUGUUGCUUCUGCCCUUUGUUAUUUUCCCUGUAUCAGACAAAUCUCUGGAGAAAUGCUGCUCUGUCAGCUGUUCUACGAGAUGCCAAAUCUUCCUCUGUUAAGAAUUAUUCUUUAGGUAAGAAUGUGAGGUUGAAUGUUCCCUGACAUGAUUCUCUCCUCUUCAGAGAACUUCGCCACAGGCACAGAUGGGAUGUGAAGAUCAGGGUGGGCAAUGGGAUUGUACAAGGAGUGCUCCAGCAGGAGCCAGGGUUGCAUGUGAGGCCUCUGCACUCUUUGACCCCACCUCUUACUGAUUUUCUUCCAUUGGAUCUGAACAAAACACUGGUAAAAUGCUUAUUCCCCACCUCUAGGAGAACCUACUCUGUGUAUGUUUCAAUAGAUUUGACCAGAACAACCCUAUAGUCAAUUUAUACUACCCCUUUGUGGAAGCAGAGAUCAGUUUCUGGUGUGUUUCAGUAUAUUUCCCUCCCUCUCCAGAACAGGAAUUUGCAUGCUGGUGGGAUUCUCAGCAGCCAAAGUGUGAGUUAUUUUAGUUUAAAUUUUUUUUGUUUCUUAAAAGUUUCCAAGCCUAUCCGGAAUAUUUUGGGUUGGGCCAAGCUGGGGAGUUAUUGCAGCCUUUGAUUUCAGCCAUCCCAGGUGGUUUGGGUGAAUUUAGCUGGUAGGGUUUUGUAUAAAGUGCAGAAUGACAGAAAGUGUUACCAGAAUUUAAUAUGGAGUUCAAUCCUGUAUUGUGUUGGUAUCUCUCUUGAGAUUAGCUAAAUUACAAUAUAAUUUACCAAAUUGCAAUGUAUCACAGCAGCUUUGUGUAAUCCCAUGCUGCAGAUACCCAGAGGUUCAGAGUGCUGAUGAAUUCCCAAUUCUGCUGAAAACAGAAAGUAUUAUCAUUUGUAACACAUCAGCUGAAAUAUUCCAAGAAUGGUUUCAGCUGUUUGCAGCCGGAUUUGUACCCACUAUUUUAUCCUGGGUGUGAGCAGGAGGUGGAGCUUUGUGCAUUCCCAAUCCCAGGAAUGCCUCUGCUGCUCUGGGUUCCACCAGCACCUCUCCCACUGUGAGGAAUGGAGCAGUGAUGCUGCACUGAAUGCAGGCAGUCCCCAAAAAUGAAUCUGUAUUGCUAAAAGCAGAAGGAUAAAGAGAAUUUAUGCUCUCAGAUGUAUGGAUUUCUAUUUUUCCCCCAGUUAUUUCUUACGUUUGCUUGCACUGGGGUUUGUUUGGAGCAUUCUUGAGCCCCUGCGCUCACAGCAGCAGAACAGGCAGAGACAACCAUAGCCACCUAAACAGUGCCAGAUGCAAAUCCCUCAAGUCAGCUUCACAUGACUUCACAUCUAAAUGUUUGGGCUCUGAUUCCAGGCUUGUGCUCUGGUUUGUUGUGUUCCUUUGGAAGCUUUGUUUUCUGUAAUUAAAAAAUGAUGAUUCCGUGCAGUCACCAGCUGUGCCAGGCACAGUUCUCAGCGAGCAGAGCUCCGUGACAGAUACGUUCAGAUGGAUUGGUCACAUUUUUCUCUAAUAACCCAUCAGGAGCCAGCUUGCUUGUUAUGUUUUGAUAGCCUUGGUGUUCACUGCAGAGCCGAAAAAAAAGCAUUGUGGAUGCUUUAAUUUGGUUAUAUUUUAACCAUAUUUGUAUUUUAUAGAAUAAUAGAAUCCAAGAAUUUAUUCAGGUUGGGUCUUAAAGACCCUCUAGUUCUACCCUGGGACACCUUCCACUAUCCCAGGUUGCUCCAAGCCCUGCCCAGCCUGGCCUUGGGCACUGCCAGGGAUCCAGAGGCAGCCACAGCUGCUCUGGGCACCCUGUGCCAGGGCCUGCCCACCCUCACAGGGGGCUGCUCUCUAUCACUUUAAAACUUCUAUCCCCUUGUCCCAUCACUACAUGCCCUUGCAAAAAGUACCUCCCCCUCUUUCUUGUAGACUCCCUUCUGUAUUUUUAUAGCCUUGAGUUCUGUUAAAUUAUGUGUUAUUCUAAAAACUACUUCCUCAUGCUUAAUUUAAAUCUCUCACCUGAUCAUUGCACAAGGCACUUUCGCAUGUAGCUUAUAGAAGUAAUGAUAUUCUAAUUUCUUAUGUGUUUUCUCUUAUGCUUAUAACUUCAUGAAUUAAUAUCCUCUCUUUUUCUUUUUUUUUUCCAUUCACAUUUAUUUUAAGUUUUAGGCAAUUUCACCUACUUUCCUGGGGAAAUCCCUGCAUGACUUCUGUGCAGUGACUUUUCAUACACCCUUGGACAGCUGGAUGGCCAAAGCUGAAUGCUCCUGUUGAUUGCUUUUGUGGGUUUUUUCCCCAAUAUCCUGCUGUUAGUAUUUACCAACCUUCAGUUCCAGUGACUAGCUUUGUACAAACCUGCCAGAGAACCAUGAGGAGAUGUGGGUGGAUGACAGGCUGAGCAGCUCAAGGUGCCACAGGUAUUGUCCCAGAGGGAGCAUCCCAGAAAUAGCCUGGGGAGGAGACCUCAUUGUGGCUUUCCAGAACUUUCUUCCCUGUGAAGAGGCCCUGGCACAGAGGAGCCGUGGCUGCCCCUGGAUCCCUGGAAGUGUCCAAGGCCAGAUUGGAUGGGGAUUGGAGCAACCUGGGAUAGUGGAAGGUGUCCUGCCCACAGCAGUGGGGUGGAAUGCGAUAUUGUUUAAGAUCCCUCCCAACUCAAACCAUUCUUUCUCUGAGUACUUUAAAGCUCACUCAUCUCUAACCUCCCAUGCUUCUUUUCAAGGAAAGAGUUUAAUAAAAGAUACCCUGUCAUAUUCAUAGUAAAAGAUUAAAAAAACAAUUAUGGAAGAGCUUGAUUUGGAUGUUUAAGAUGUCUUGUCAAAAUCCCGAGAAUUCUCUAAAUAGAAUUUAAACUGAAAGCAUAUGAAGCCAUGAAUUCUCAGCUCCUAUUUUCACUGUUAAUAUUGUAUAGCUAAAGCCAGAUCCAGCAAAAAAAAAGGAUUCUUGAUUCUUUUAAUGGGAGGAGCAUAAUUUUAGCACAGCUGCCACAGAAACACACAGGGCCAAGCUCUGCCUACAGUUGCCUCUGGAGAUAGCUGGAUUUAAUGCAUUUGCAGGAGCCAUGUGGAGAAAAUCUCUGGCAUGCUGUUACUAAUUUCAUUUGUGGAAGAUGAGAUAAAUAUUAAUGAAUAUAAACACCUAUUAAAUGUAGACUCACCAGUUAAAUAACUGUGCUGACUGAAUUAAUGUGCUCUGUAGUCAGGAAUGUUCAGCUGGAAUGAUGCUUUCUGAAAGGCAAUUUCUGCGAGUUCAUAAUUUUGUUAAUGGUACCUGAAAAACCUGCUGUUGAAGUUGGGAACCUGCAGACAUUUUUUUCUUCACAUCAAGGUCAUUUCCAUCCCUUUUUUCUGCUCCUCGCUGCUUCCUUGGCAGCACUGAUCAAAGCAUCUGAGGGGUGCCUGAUAAGCAGCCCUUCAUUAUUUCAUCCAGCACCACAUUUUGGACCCAGAACACUGCAUGGCCUCCCAAAACAGCUGCUGCAGUUCUGGUGAGGAACGGGACUAAAUAACUGAGCUUUGGAGGAUCUAGAAAUUAGCUGAGAGGAAUAAAAUGAGGUGCAGCUAAUUCGUGCUGCCUCCCCAUGGCUCCAGCUUAAAAAGAUUUAAAAAUACUGAAAAGUGUCAAAAUAAUCAGAAUCUAUUAUGCAACAGUAGGAAAUACUGAAGCUGUUCUUUAAAUAGCCAGUGACACAAGAUUUUUGUGUGCUUUCCUGGGGGUUACUGUUCCUUUUGAAAUCCUAGAAGAGAUUGCUGCUUUUUUCCUCAGCCUUUCACAGUAGUGGGGACUAAAAGCUAGAGGUACAAAUUGUGUGCAGAUAUAUAAAUUUUGUGAUGCUAUGCAUCCUAUAGUGAAGAAUAGGCACCAUAUAAUGUGCAGUUAGAAAACUGUAGUUGUUUUAACAAAUUCAUAAUCAGGAAAUGUCAUUUAAUGUAGAAGUGAAUGUAUGGUGCUCAUUUAUUUAUUAAGUAUACCAGGAGGAGAGGGAAAAUUGAGGAGGAGAAUUCUGCUGAGGGCUGUGUCCAUCAUUAAAGAGGAUUAAGGUGCUCAGGAGGGUGAGAUGCUUCACUCACCUUGCUCUCCACAGUCAGGACUUGAACCUAACACUGUAGAAACACUGGGAUGUUUAUAAGUGAGCUGAAUUUGAAUUAUGACCUCUUUGGCCACUCUUGCAUUUCACUUGGCUUUGCUUUUGAACUGCUGCAGGUUUGUUUGGGGCUUUUUCUCCCUCCCUGGAGCUGGAGUUAUAAAUUUGCCAUAUAACAUUUCAUGAUAGAUGGAGUGUUGGACUGUUGGGAAUGAGCUUUUUGUGACACUGACCUAAAGGUGCUGCUACUCAGUGAAUAAAAACACUUCCCCUUUGUAACCCUAGGCUUGCUUUAUUCUCUAAACCUGCAGGAAAAAUGCAUUUCGCUUCAUCAUGAUCCAUUAAUGUAAGAAAUACUUGUUCUGACCGUGACAACCCUUCCUUUCAGUGGCCCUGGUAAUCACAACAAACGAGGUCAGCAUUUCCUUUGGUUCUCCUCAGGCUGUUAACGUCCAUGUGGGAUAAUCUUGGCGACACAAAGAACUAUCAAAAAAUGUCAAGAAGGCCAAAAUGGUUAUUUUUCGUAGUUGUCAUUGUUAGAAAGUUCAAGAGAAAGAAGUGCUGAGUAGCACAGCUGAUGAUAAUGACAAAUAGUGAGGGCUUUGCUUAGAAUAGAGGGGAAAAAAUUACAUUCAGGAGGGCUCUUGGGAAAUCAGGCUGCCUGGGUGUCAGGAAUUUCAAUAAAGAGCUUUGAAGUGAUUUCAGAAUAUUUUGUGGUGCUUUCUGAUAAAUUUGGGUGGAUAGGUGAGGAACUUGACUGCUGUAAAACUCGCUCAGUACCUGUCUCUAAUAGGAAAAAAAGGGGACCUGGAUAGUCACAGAUCAGUUUAAUUUUCACUUGCAGGAGAAAAAAAAAUCUGAAAUAAAGCACAGGUCUGGAAGGUGCUGGAUGGGUAAAACCAUGUGGUUGUUUUGGGGAAGUGUCAUCUGCUGGUGUGAAAAGUCCCUCUCCAGCCUUCUUGUGAAUCCCUUUUAGGUACUGGAAGGUUGCUAUAAGGUAAAUUCAAAGGGUAUUUUCAGGUUGUUUAAUUCAGUCUGGGAUGGUGAAUAGAAAAUGUUCUUUCCUAUAUUUGUGAACAAACUAGUACAAAUUUGAGAAUCUGUAGGCUAGUGUGAUGUCUUAAGGAGUUGGAACAGAGGCCGGAUGGAGUUAAGAGGAAUAAAGUGGAUAUUUAUUGAAGUGCCUUCACUUUAUAUAUUUAUAUACAUUUUUAUAUAUUUAUUUAAUAUACAAAGAUAUAAUAUAUAAUAUACAUUUAUAUAUUUAUAUAAAAUUUAAUAC